GGCCAGACUCCUACGGGAGGCAGCAGUGGGGAAUAUUGCACAAUGGGGGAAACCCUGAUGCAGCGACGCCGCGUGAGUGAAGAAGUAUUUCGGUAUGUAAAGCUCUAUCAGCAGGGAAGAAAAUGACGGUACCUGACUAAGAAGCCCCGGCUAACUACGUGCCAGCAGCCGCGGUAAUACGUAGGGGGCAAGCGUUAUCCGGAUUUACUGGGUGUAAAGGGAGCGUAGACGGCAUGGCAAGUCAGAUGUGAAAGCUCGGGGCUCAACCCCGGGACUGCAUUUGAAACUGUCAGGCUGGAGUGCAGGAGAGGUAAGUGGAAUUCCUAGUGUAGCGGUGAAAUGCGUGGAUAUUAGGAGGAACACCAGUGGCGAAGGCGGCUUACUGGACUGUAACUGACGUUGAGGCUCGAAAGCGUGGGGAGCAAACAGGAUUAGAUACCCCCGUAC
This 447-nucleotide ribosomal RNA is filed under the name uncultured bacterium. Its description in RNAcentral is "bacterial SSU rRNA". It matches the Rfam family "Bacterial small subunit ribosomal RNA", at positions 329 to 793 of the family's 1533-position model. The record is from RNAcentral.